GAUUUAUUUUGAUCAUGGGGAUAUUUUUCCUUGAUUUUAUGCACUUUCUAUGUAUAGUGGCAUUAAAUUAGGAAAGUUGGCUCAAAGCCACUAGUAUAAAUAGGUGGUAUUAUGUUCAUUUCAUGAUCAAGCUUUCAUCUUCUGAAAUAUAAUCUCUCCUUCCUUCUCGCAAAUUUAUUUGCUUUCAUUGGUUCAUUAUUUUUUUAUUUGUUAAUUUCCAGCUUUGGAACAUUGCAUUAGUAGCCAAACCCCCGCGUCACCAACCUACACCCACCACUUAUGUUUUUUUUUUUCGAAUCCCCUUUUCAUUUCAGAUAUAUCAAACUCCAACAUGUCCUAAACUUUAGUCAACUAAACCCUUUUUAGCUUUAGAACGGUGUCAAAGACCCGUGAGUUACGAACCCGAGCAAUUUAAUUUCUAAUUUUCAGUACUUAUUAUUUCUCCGGAUUAAGAGUAUGACUUCAUCAACUCACAAAGUUAAAUCAACACUAAGUCAAAAAGGACGUCGUUUGAGUUAGAGCUAGUUUGGCAAUACUUUUGAAAAAUGUUGUGGAAAAGUGCUUUUGAGAAGUGUUUUUGAAAAGUUUGGUUUAAAAUUUGAGUGUUUAGCAUUGCUGUCAAAAAGUGCUUUUGAGAAAUAAAAUGUCCAUUUUAGACAUGUUAUUAUCAAGUAACAAAUAUGUAUUUAAAUAAUAUUUAAAUUAGUUAAUAUUAUUAUAUUUUAGCAAGAAUAUAAAAAAUUAUUAUAGCUUGUUAAUAUUUUAAUAUAUAAAAUAUAAAUUUUAAAUAUUUUUAAGCAAUAAAUAUUAAUUAUUUAUAAAAUUUAAUUAGAAUAUAUAAACUAUAUUUUAAAUAUUUAAAUAUAACUAUUAAAUAUUUGUAAUUAGUAUUUUAAAAAAUAUUUUUUAUUUUUAAUUAAUGAUUUUAACACAUUUGUAAUUAAGCACCAAGAAAAAAAGUACUAUACUAUUGGAGGUGUGAAAAACUAAUUAAGCACCGAAAGUACUUUUGGGAGAGGAAAAGCUAAAAUUUUUAGCUUCUCCUUUUUAGAAGUACUUUUCAAAAGCACUUCUGAAAAGCUAAAAAUUUUAGCCAAAAGCAGCUUGUUCUGCACAGCUUUUCUUUCAAAUGUGCUUUUGGAGUCAGAAGUGCUUUUUUUAAGCAAUGAAGAACUGGCCCUUAGUGUGGUUAGACGUACAGUUGGAAUUCCGAAAGGAUCGAUUGUCUAAUCAGUUUUCUGUGAACACAUUGGCGUGCCAAGUGGGGAUUGUUGUUUAAUUUCGUCAAGGAAAGUAGUAACCAGAUUUAAAUGUCCCACGGGAUUGAGGGCAUUGGUUCGUGCUAGGCUCUUCUAGAACGCAAAGUUGUCGGAGUUCUAAAUCACGAACGUUUCGUAGGUUGUUCAAUCGGCAAGGGUUAAUUAUAGGACGUUCCAUAACUAAUUUACACAAGGAAGAGCUGGUGUUCGAGGCGUCCUUGGUAGCUAUAACUAGCUUAUUGGAAAAGAGGAGUUCAUCCAAUUUCGAGGAUCGGUUCAAAGACGGAAAAACCCGUGCCUGAAGCUGAGCUAAAUUUAAUUGAUUUUUCUUCAAAUCUACUUAACUAUUUUUCUUAUUUAAUUGUCUUCAGCUUUUACUGUUUACACAUUUUUUUCCUCUGUUCAUGUCAGGAUUCAUAUUUUAUCCCCCCAAACUUCUUGGGCACGACAACUUCCUAGACAUAAAUCUGGUCGAGAGAGGAACAAUUUUCAGUAAACCCAGUCUCUGAGGGAUCGACCCUACUCCCUAUACUAUUCAAAUUUGCAAAUUAGGUGUAGGGUUAUAUUGGUGGAAUCAACAACCAUCAGUUUUGGCGCCGUUGCCGGGGACUGGUAACACUUACAAUUGUUUAAAUCAUCUUCAUGACUAGAUAUUCAUCCGGAGAUUUCGAAUACGACACAGAGAUUGAGAAAUUGGCAUGAGCACGAUGAAAAGAGACGGAAGCUCUUAAACGUACAAGUAAAGUAGAAGUUGAGCUAAGACAAUGGAGCUUAGAAUCCGACAUCGAAAAGUUGAGCGAAGCAAUUUAAGCAGAGGCAAUUCGACGUGGGAAACAAGUCGAAGUGGUUGAACCUGAGACCGAACCACUUUUUGAAAUAAAAGAAGUAAAAGACAACCUCGAUGAACUAGAAAGGAUGGCAAACCGAACCAUUCGUCAACUAGUCGCUGCUCCCAAUGAGCAAAAACUAUUAUGUAUCAACUAUCCAACUGGAGAAACCCCGUUCGAGUUAAAAUCAGGCCUGAUUCACCUUUUGCCCACUUUUCGAGGCUUGAAGAACGAAAAUCCACACACUCACUUAAGAGAAUUCCACAUGGUCUGCUCAAGCAUGAAACCUCAGGGAGUAACCGAAAAUGAAAUUAAACUUCGGGCAUUUUCUUUUUCUUUAGUUGAAACAGCAAGAGAAUGGUUAUUUUACUUACCCCCCAGUUCUAUUACAACGUGGGAUGACUUAUCUCAUGUAUUUCUUGACAGAUUCUUUCCAGCAUUGUGAGCAGCUGAACUUAGGAGAGACAUGGUAUAAAUUCGCCAAUUGGAGAGUGAAUCGCUCUAUGAUUAUUGGGAGCGGUACAAAAAACUGUGUGCAAGUUAUCCUCAGCACGGUUUGACCUAACAAUCACUUUUUCAAUAUUUCUACGAGGGUUUGCUCUCUAUGGAAAUGAAUAUGAUUGACGAUGCUAGUGGAGGGGCGCUUGUCAAUAUGACUCCUCAAAGGGCAAGAGAAUUGAUAUCCACUAUAGCGGUAAAUUCUCAACAGUAUCGGCUGAAUUCAGAACCCUCAAGACGGGUUAAUGGGGUAAACGUUUCAUCCUUAAAAGAUAAAUUGGAUAGGCUUACUAAUAUUGUUCAAUCUUUACUUACAGAAAAAAAGAAUCUGACCCAAUUAUGUGGAAUUUGUACUACCUUUGAGCAUCCGACGGAUUUAUGCCCAAUCCUUAACGACAAUUCAACGACACAUGUUGAUGUUAUCAGAGGUUUUCCAGAACCUCCGCAAAGACGCUAUGAUCCUUUCUCCAACACCUACAAUCCCGGAUGGAAGGAUCAUCCUAACUUGAAUUACGAAGCUAAUCCCCGAUAUAACCCAUCAUACCAACCGAGACCUCCACAACCGCCACAACAACAACCAAAGCCAAGCACAUCUUUAGAAGCUGUUGUGGAAAGAUUUGCCGUCAAUAUUGUAAAAUACCAACAGAAGAUAGAUGCAUCAAUACAAGAGUUAACUAAUCAAGUUAGUAAACUCUUGAUAGCAGUUAAUCGUUUGGAGUCUCAAGGUAAAUUACCUUUCCAGAUGGAGUCAAAUCAUCGGCAGAAUGCAAGUGCAAUAACUCUUUAUAGCGAAGAGGUUCUGGAAACAGUUCCAGACAAAAGUCAUGGGCAAGACUAGGAACAAGAAAAGUAGAUCUCUGAUCCAAAAGCCAAACCAGAAUCAGAAAUUUAGAAACCAGAUGUGAUGCCACCUCUUUCUCCCGGGAGGCUCACAAAGGAUAAGAAAGAGAAGUAGGAAAAAGAAAUUCUCGAAACAUUCAGAAAGGUGGAGGUAAAUAUCCCUUUGCUCGACGCUAUCAAACAAAUCCCUCGCUAUGCAAAAUUUCUCAAGGAAUUGUGUACUAGCAAGAGGAGGUUAAUAGGGAACGAAAGAGUAAAUGUAGGAGAAAAUAUUUCCGUAGUACUGUAAAAGAAUGUUCCGCCCAAAUACAAGGACCAAGGUAUGUUUGCCAUUUCCUGUGAGAUAGGUAAUGUAGGCAUUAAGAAAGCUAUGUGUGAUUUAGGGGCUUCCAUUAAUGUUAUGCCUUAUUCUAUUUAUAAGUUGAUUAACGCGGGUCCUUUAAAAGAAACAUGAGUAAUAAUCUAGUUGGCGGACAGGUCAGUUGUCUAUCCCGAAGAGUUGCUUGAAGACGUCCUUGUUAAAGUUAACGAAUUAGUUUUCCCUGCAGAUUUCUACAUUAUUAAUAUGGAGGAUGGUAGCUCAACUAAUUCGUCUGACAUUUUGCUUGGAAGGCCGUUCCUAAGUACCAUAAGCGCAAAAAUUGACGUUUAGAGCGGAACACUAAGAAUGAAGUUUGAUGGCGAAAUCGUAAAAUUCAAUGCCUACGAAGCUAUGGGUCAUCCUAACUCAUUAUUAAAUAUUUCUAGUAUCGAUAGUAUAGAUUGUUUAACUCAAUCUUAUUCCAAAUAUCAUGACUUUGAUGAGUUGGAAACUGUCUUUUACAGAAGCAUUGACAUGAAUGUUUUAAAUCAUCUCGAGGAAUUAGCAAUUAUAGAAGAUUUGUUGCGAGAAAUUGUCAAACACUUAGAGACGCAACCAUCGUUGACGAACCGAGGUAACCAAUUUGAACUAUCGCCUUUCCAAACUAAAAUGUUGCCCUCGGUUUUGCAGCCAACAACCUUGGAGCUUAAAGCAUUACCGAACCACCUUAAGUAUGUCUUUUUGGGUGAGAAAGAUACAUUACCGGUGAUAGUGUCAAACAAACUAACCAAAGACGAGGGGGAAAGUCUAGUUCGAGUUCUAAGAGAUUAUAAGGAAGCUAUUGGUUGAAUGAUAGCCGACAUAAAAAGGCUAAGUCCAUCCACUUGUAUGCACAAAAUUUCCAUCGAAGAUAACACGAAACCAAAGAGAGAUGCUUAAAGGCGCCUUAAUCCACCCAUGAUGGAGGUAGUAAAGAAGGAGAUCUAGAAACUGUUCGAUGUUGGAAUGAUAUACUCGAUCUCUGACAGUGAUUGGGUUAGCCCGGUUCAUGUCGUGCCCAAGAAAACUGGCAUGACAGUGGUGAAAAACUCGUUAGGAGAACUAGUCCUUACCCGAGUCCAAAAUAGAUGGAGGGUUUGCACUGAUUAUAGGAAGUUGAUGCAGCUACCCGAAAAGACCAUUUUCCACCUCCCUUUUAUCGAUCAAAUGCUCGAGCGAUUAGCUGGUAAGACCCAACAUUGUUGUCUCGAUGGGUAUUCGGGAUUUUUCCAAAUUUCGGUGGCGCCAGAUGAUUAAGAGAAAACAACUUUCACGUGCCCCUUCAGAACGUUCGCAUAUAGACGGAUGCCGUUUAGACUCUGUAAUGCUCCAGCCACUUUCUAGAGAUGCAUGGUGAGCAUAUUCUCCGAUUAUGUCGAGAAAAUCAUUAAAGUUUUUAUGGAUGACUUCAUGGUAUACGGUAACUCUUUUAACGAAUGUCUCGAUAAUCUUACUAAGAUAUUACAAAGAUGCCUAGGAUUUAAUCUUGUUUUAAAUUAUGAGAAAUGCCACUUCAUGGUUGACAAAGGAUUAAUUUCGGGUCAUAUAGUUUCCUCGGAAGGAAUUGAGGUCGAUAAGGCAAAAAUGAAUAUUAUUAACUCGUUACCUUACCCCACAUCUGUGAGGAAAGUUCGUUCGUUUCUUGGCUAUGCAGGAUUUUAUAGACAAUUCAUGAAACACUUCUCGAAAAUCGUGCAACGACUUUGCAGUUUGUUACAAAAGGAUAAAGGAUUUGAAUUUGACCAGACUUGUAAAGACGCAUUUGGCGUGCUGAAUCAGAAAGUGGUCUCCGCUCACAUAGUGCAACCACCAAAUUAGAACUUUCCGUUCGAAAUCAUGUGUGAUGCAAGUGACCGAAAUGUGAGAGCUAUUCUUGACCAAAGAAUAGGGAAAGAGCCUCAUGUUAUCUACUAUGCUUCGAAGACUUUGGAUGCUGCCCAAAGCAAUUACACAACCACUGAGAAAGAAUUAUUAGCUGUUGUGUUUGCUUUAGACAAAUUUAGAUCUUAUCUAUUGGGAACUAAAGUGAUUAUCUUUUCUGAUCAUGCAGCUUUGAAAUAUUUAAUAGGGAAAAGGAGGCAAAACCUCGAUUAGUUAGGUGGAUUCUACUCUUACAAGAGUUCAAUUUUAAAAUCCGGGAUAAAAAGGGAUGCGAAAACUUAGUAGCUGACCAACUGAGUCGAUUACUGAUUCCAGUAGACGACACACCAUUGAAAGACAACUUCCUAGAUGAAAACCUAUUUUCAGCAAAUGCGAUUCAUCCUUGGUAUGCAGACAUAGUAAAUUAUCUCAUUACAGGUACUGUUCCUUCGGAAUUACCAAGGUCUAAAAAAGAUAAGAUAAAAAAGAUGCGCGGUAUUACAUUUGGGAUGAUCCUUACCUUUGGAAGCAUUGCUCAGAUCAGGUAAUUCGACUGUGUGUAGUAGAAACAGAGGUACAAUCCAUCUUAACUUUUUGUCAUUCUUAUGCAUGUGGAGGACACUUUGGACCUAAACGCACUGUACAUAAAAUUCUUGAAUGUGGACUAUUUUUGCCAAACAUAUUUCGUGAUGCCUUUUUAUUCUGCAAAACUUGUGAAAGGUGCCAAAAAACUGGCAACCUUAGUCGUCGAAAUGAGAUGCCCCUUACUCCUAUCCAUAUUUGCAAAAUUUUCGAUGUGUGGGGCAUCGAUUUUAUGGGUCCUUUCAUUUCUUCUCUCGGUAAUUUUUAUAUACUCUUAGCUGUUGAUUAUGUCUUUAAGUGGAUAGAAGCGAAAGCCACUCGCAAUGAUAAUGCUAAGACUGUAGUUGACUUUCUUAAAAGUUCUAUCUUUUCCAGGUAUGGCACUCCACGAGCAUUAAUCAGUGACAGAGGAACUCAUUUUUGCAAUAAGCUCGUAAGUGCACUUAUGGAGAAAUAUGGAGUGACUCAACGAAUUGCCACUGCUUACCAUCCACAAACAAACGGGCAAGCUGAAGUGUCGAAUCGAGAAAUCAAGUCUAUUUUGGAAAAGACUGUUAAACCUAACAGAAAGGAUUGAAGUUUGAGACUAAAUGAUGCACUUUGAGCUUAUAGGACAGCUUACAAGGGACCAAUACGCAUGUCACCUUAUUGACUCGUUUUUGAUAAAUCGUGCCAUCUCCCAGUCGAAUUAGAGCACAAGGCAUUUUGGGCAGUUAAGCAGUGUAAUAUGGAGAUGGAGUCUGCAGGAAGGUCUCAGAAGUUAGACAUCCAGGAACUUGAGGAAAUUAAAAACGAUACAUAUGAAAAUGCUCGAGUUUAUAAAGAAAAGAGGAAGGCAUUUCAUGAUAAGUUUUCAAUAGGACAAAAAUUUCUCUUAUACGACUUCACCUUAAAAAUUUUUGCUGGUAAGCUUCGAUCCAAAUGGAUAGGUCCAUUUACUAUUACCAAUUUAUUCUUGAAUGGUGCAAUGGAAAUUCAAAGCGAAAAAACCCGGAAGUGUUUUAAGGUGAAUGGUCAACGACUGAAACCAUUUUACAAGAAUUUUCAAAUGCACACAGUUGAGGAGAUUGCUCUCGAGGAGCCCAGAAUUUGAAUAAUAGGUCGUCGAGCUAAUGACGAUAAAAAAAGCGCUAUUGGGAGGCAACCCAAAUUUUCCCUUUAUGCAAAUAAAAUUUUUGGAAGGUAAAACGGAAAGUGAAAAUGUAUUUCGAGAAUCGGUUCUAUCUAAGGAAAGACUUAGUACUUAAGAAUGUCCAUUGUGACUCACCUCUCUUUCUUGGGAACUGACCUGGUGCAUUUAUCACGACUAUUUUACUAAAUUCCAUAAUCUUGGUUUUUAAUUUAUUUAUUGAAUAUUUAAGCAUAGACUUAACUAAUUCGAGAAAUAAAAAAAUACACAUUUUAUUUAUUUAAUUUUAUCUUAUUUUUAUUUUAUUUCGCAGGUAAACCUUCCAAAAUAAAAUUAAAGCUCCUAUGUCAGCCCAUAAAAUUCUUCUAAUUUUAGUUAAGGCCCAAACUACCUACCCACCAUUUAACCUAACCAUUAUCCAAGCUAACCCAUUAACUACAAACCACCAUUAACCCAUCAGACCUACCCAAAUUCAAACCCAAAAUAAAAAAUCACCCUAAGCCCAAUAAAACCCCCCAAACCGUCCACCUAUCUAAAAGAAAUAAAAAAACCCUAACCUUUCACCCAUCAAAUUCUAUCCAUCUUUUCACCUAGAAAACUACAACUCCACUACCCCCAUUUUAACUCACCUCUCUCUCCUUAACUGUCUAUCCUUUUUAAAAGAAGCCCAACCUUUCACCUAUCAAAUCAUAGCCAUCUACCUAUCUUUUACCUAGGAAAACCCCAACCCACUAUCAAUUUUGAUCGGCCAAAAUUAAAGAAAAAAAAAAGCUAAAACAUUUUUCAAAUAUUACAUUUUUUCUUUUUACUAAACCCCUUCCAUUUUAACCAUCAACACCACCACUCACCUCCACUCGUUAACACCAUCCUAGCAUGGUCCGCACACGUGACUGUACGGCAUAAGAACCGCCCUCCGCGGUAAACCGACGACGAAACUGCUUUUCCGCUCCACCCUUUGUAACCAUCGACUCCGACGAGUCUCCUCCCUCUCUGCCGCCGCAACCGCGUCAUCUUAGGAGAAAUCAAAGCCUAACUUCGAUUGCCGUUGUCUACCAGUCCCAUGAGCCCCCUAUUUCAGACUACCAUCCUCCAAACAGCCCAGUCGAACCACCAAACUCAUUCGAUAGCCAAGACCGUCCUUUCCCCUUACCAAACUUACAUGCACAACAACCAACAUGGUCAGGGCUUUCAAGAAGAACUCCGCGACCGCCAAGCGAUAGUGUUGAAUCAGAUUCGACGCAAAGAUGAACCCGUGCUCACCAACAGCCACCGUUGGCCGGUUUAUCAACUCCGACGGCAGAUGAUGCCAAAAAUAGCAGAGAUAAAACGAAUGAUGAUAGAAGUCGAGCCUCCGACCAUCAGGACACUGACUAUCGCCCACGUGAGCGCGGCCGAUUUUGACAAGGAAGAGGAUUCAUACCCCUGGAGAACAGACUCUGCAGGAAUCUAACAUUCAUGAACCUGACACACUAAGCACGAAUCAAACAAAUCUAGCAUUGCCCUCUUCCAAUCUGUAAGCACGUACACCCAUUCUCAUUAUACUGUUUAGACAUUGAAGAACCUGUUAAUCAAUAUUUUGACACUAUUGGAUGGACUGAUUUUGCUGCCAUUGAUGAACCUACAUAUUAUGAGUUGGUUUUUAAAUUUUAUUCUACAUUUCAUUUCAACCGCUCUGCUAACACUGUGGACACACCUCGCGCUGUCUAUUUUUGCUUGCUUGGUGUGCAUUAUAAUCUGUCAAUUUCUGAGUUUAAUGUUGCUUUGGGAUUUGUUAGUGAGGACUAUUUAGCAACUGAUGACUAUUAUGAAUCAUAUCUCGACAUACCACUUGGCUUUGAUGCUAAUGAAGCUUUGGCUUUGUUAACUAAAAUGAGACAGAUAUCGUACGACCCGAAGCAUUGUAAAGACAUAGGAAUUCAUAGUCCUGCACUCAGAUACAUACAUAGAUUCCCUGCUUUCAAUUUUUUCGGACGUAAUGAUGCAUUUGCCUCUUUAACUAAGACUGAAUUAUUCUUUUUAUGGUGCAUGCAUUCGAGUAGGAUGGUGAAUUUAGGUUAUUGGUUUGCUAUUCAGUUUCACCAGAUUUUGCAGUCAAAUCGGCCGCUCAUUUUAGGUACAUACAUCACACGUUUGGCCUUCAAUUUGAAUCCAUCAGCUAUCAAUUUUAGUUCUUUAAAUUUGGCAUACAAAACAGAUGCUUUAGAUACAUAUUGCUUCGAUUCUAUGGGGCUACUUGUCGGUACCCAUUCUUCUUUUUAUUUUGUCCCUCCAGGUACAAGGACGGAUCGAUCACAUAGAGUGUUCCAACGAAGAUAGUAGCAUAGAAUAGAGCCCCCCAUGUCUGUCAAAACUCGAUUAACCCGAAUCGAGAAAGGACUCGACUCUUUACGCACCUUAGUAACAGACGUUCUCACACACCUACGAGGUCACCCUCCACGACAUUGAAAUACAUGGGGAGUUUCUUUUUCUUUCAUUUUUCCUACUUAUCUUUACUUUUUAUCCUUUAAUUCAAUUACAUUGGGACAAUGUAAAAUAAGUAGGGGGAGGGGAAUAUUGGUUCUAUUUUACUUAUCUGUCGUCGUUGUUUUUGCAUGUUUCUCGCAGAAGGUAAACAAUUUCCUUGAUAAAUUAGGAUGGUACACUUGUGGUUUGACCUAUUUAGCUAUUUAGUUUUUUACAUAUAAACUUUUCAAUAGCAUGGACUCAGUUGAAAAAAAGAGAAAAGAAAAAAUAAAUAAUAAUACUCAUCUGAUACGAAUGUUAAGGGUAAAAAUUAGGGUUAUACACCGGACCGAGUAAUCAGAACGUGGUGCUUGGGUUGUCAUCACAUCUCGUGUAAAAAGGUUCAUGUGGCUGUCCAAUUUCUUUGCACUCACUCCGCUAACAAGAUAUCACGAGUAGGGCGAAAUAACCUGCUCAGAGACAUCCGAAUCGAGUAACCAUAACAUGGUGCUUGGGUUGUCAUCAUGUCUCGCGUGAAAAAAUUCGAAAAUGUCCUAAGUACAAAAAUAAAUAAAAAUAAUAAAAUGAGGGGUAGGUCCUUAUUUCUUAGGCUAGGUUAUUUGAGAUGAUAAUAUGUAAGGACUAAAUUGUUGAAUUGUGCAAACCAUAGGGGUCAAGUCCUAUUAUGGAGGAAAUUUUUCCUUUUACAGAUACAUACAUAAUGCUCGAGGACUAACAUGAGCUAAGUAGGGGGAUUUGAUUAAAUGCUGAAGUUACCUAUUUUAUGUAAUUAAAUUGGUCAAUUUAUGAUAAUGCACCACUGAUUUUUCUAUGUUUGUAUUGAAUUUUAUACAAGGGUGCAAUUUGGGGCUAAAUAGAAGAAAAAGGAAACAAUUGGACUAGAUUGAAAGAAGAAGCAAAGAAGGGGGGUUGAAAUAGAAUUUCGAAAAGAUGUAAUUGGCUGAAAUUUUUUGAUUGACUUAGUUAGAGAUUUUUUACGGAUUUAUUUUGAUCAUGGGGAUAUUUUUCCUUGAUUUUAUGCACUUUUUAUGUAUAGUGGCUUUAAAUUAGGAAAGUUGGCUCAAAGCCACUAGUAUAAAUAUGUGGUAUUAUUUUCAUUUCAUGAUCAAGCUUUCAUCUUCUAAAAUAUAAUCGCUCCUUCCUUCUUGCAAAUUUAUUUGUCAUUGGUUCCUUAUUUUUUUAUUUGUUAAUUUCCAGCUUUGGAAACAUUGCACUAGCAGCCAGACCCUUGCGUCACCUGAUUAGAACCCGGCCACGAACGACCAUGAUUUCAGUUUGAAUUCAGCUUCUCAAGCUCCAUUUAGCUUGGUUCAGCUCACCUAAUUUUAUUUCAGCUCACAUGAGCUUAUUUCAGCUCGUUUGAGCUCGGUUUAAAUUCUUUUCAGCUCAUUAAUUUUAUUUGCUGGAAUUUUUGGACAUUUAAAUUAAGCAUUUGUUAAAGUUUACUAUAGCUCAUUAGUGUGUCCAAAAUUAGUACAAGUGUUUAAUUUGUCUUGUCUUAAUUAAAUUAAAUGUGUCUUGAUUUUAUUAAGUAUGUCUUAAAUUAAAACAUGAAUUAGUUAUGUUCAGCCGAAUUAAUGUGUCUUGUUUAGUUAAUAUUUAAUUUGUCACAAUGUCAAUUAGAGUAUUCACAUUAUGUUUUAAUUUAGUUCAGAUGAAUUUGUUUGAAUUAAUUAAGUUCAUGUGUUUUUAUUUAGGUGCAGCCGAAUUUGAAGAUUCAUUGGCUAGAUGCAUGCACGUAGAUUCAAUGAAUGUGAAGAUGCAUGUGCAACUGGUAUAAUGCAUUGAAGCUGAUUAAUUUUGGUUCUCCCCAAGGCAACUAUUCGGCCAAGAGAUAGCAGCCAUUCAACUUUCCAAGACAUGGCCGAUCCUCUCCUCAAAGCAACAUAAUUCUUUUCACACCAUCUGUUCACACCUUGGCUGUUUGGUUCAGCUUGUUCACACCAUGAGGCUUUACAAAACCAUCCAUUCACACUUCCAAGGGCUGCUCAAAUUCUCCUUAAAUGCUGGUGAUGUUUUAGCAAGAGUUGCUUCAUAAAUGGGCCAAAUUAAGAUCAUUAACCGGAUUUAGUUGCUGCCAAGAACUUUCAAGAUUCAUUUGUUUAAUUGAGGAGCUGAUUUUUAUUCUCCAUUUAGCCGAAUCUACCUUGGUUUUCAUUUUUGAAUUAAAGUUGGAAUUUAGUUCAAUUUUUGCUUAGAUAUUAAGUCUUGAAUCUGUCCAUUCGGCUACUAGACUUUAGGCUAUAAAUAGUUGUUGAUUUUCUUGUAAAAGGACUUUUGGUCAAAUUUCUAAAUGAACUAUUGUUCUUGUGAGGUUUCUCCCUCUCAUAUUUCGUGUGAGUCUCGAUUUGGCUUAUCUAGCGUGCUAGUGGUGUCAACCGAACUCUUUCCGAACUUAUCACCAAUCCUGGUGUAGCGUUCAUCCAUUUCAAUAUACCUUCGGUUCUUACUUUGUUAAGUAACGAGUCGAUGUCCAUAUUCCUGUUUCCAUCUUUUCACUUUAAACCAUAUAAGAUUUGGGGCGAUACUCAUUAUAGUAUUGAAACUUUCUUGACGUUUAAGUUCUAUUUUCC
This 12371-nucleotide long non-coding RNA is filed under the name Gossypium barbadense (sea-island cotton). RNAcentral describes it as "long non-coding RNA (GBAR_LNC015769)". The record is from RNAcentral. Lineage: Eukaryota; Viridiplantae; Streptophyta; Magnoliopsida; Malvales; Malvaceae.